This 254-nucleotide ribosomal RNA is filed under the name uncultured bacterium. RNAcentral's name for it is "partial 16S ribosomal RNA". It matches the Rfam family "Bacterial small subunit ribosomal RNA", at positions 524 to 776 of the family's 1533-position model. The record is from RNAcentral.
UACGGGGGGGGCAAGCGUUGUUCGGAAUUACUGGGCGUAAAGGGCGCGUAGGCGGUCAGCACAAGUCAGUUGUGAAAUCUCCGGGCUUAACUCGGAACGGUCAACUGAUACUGUGCGACUAGAGUGCAGAAGGGGCAACUGGAAUUCUCGGUGUAGCGGUGAAAUGCGUAGAUAUCGAGAGGAACACCUGCGGCGAAGGCGGGUUGCUGGGCUGACACUGACGCUGAGGCGCGAAAGCCAGGGGAGCGAACGGG